ACAUCACUGAGUUGUUGGAUCUUUCCAGAUCACCACACCACAUCACCCAGCCACUCUGCCCAAUGGGAGGGCAGACAGUGUUCCAGUGUAGGAGGAAGGGGUGUAAGGUGCGGGCAGUUUGUGAGGAGGGCACCAACGAGAGCUACUGUGAGAAAGUCUGCAUGGUCAAAAAGUGGAUUACCAAGAACAAAGCAUCAUAAUGUUGUCCAG
Molecule: long non-coding RNA, 210 nt
Filed under: Homo sapiens (human)
Lineage: Eukaryota; Metazoa; Chordata; Mammalia; Primates; Hominidae
Description: non-protein coding lnc-PTX3-4:7
Source: RNAcentral